GAGCCACACCAACUAAAGCACAUGUCCUAGAGUUAGAAUGACACAGAGAAGAUUAUAAUGGCCCCUGCACAAGAUUGGCAUAAAAAUUCGUGAAGCUGUCUUAAAAAAA
This is a small nuclear RNA of Pteronotus mesoamericanus, 109 nucleotides long. The record is from RefSeq and is a predicted model, not a curated record. NCBI's taxonomy places the organism in Eukaryota, Metazoa, Chordata, Mammalia, Chiroptera, Mormoopidae.